GACGAACGCUGGCGGCGUGCCUAAUACAUGCAAGUAGAACGCUGAAGGAGGAGCUUGCUUCUCUGGAUGAGUUGCGAACGGGUGAGUAACGCGUAGGUAACCUGCCUGGUAGCGGGGGAUAACUAUUGGAAACGAUAGCUAAUACCGCAUAAUAGCAGUUGUUGCAUGACAACUGUUUGAAAGGUGCAAUUGCACCACUACCAGAUGGACCUGCGUUGUAUUAGCUAGUUGGUGUGGUAACGGCUCACCAAGGCGACGAUACAUAGCCGACCUGAGAGGGUGAUCGGCCACACUGGGACUGAGACACGGCCCAGACUCCUACGGGAGGCAGCAGUAGGGAAUCUUCGGCAAUAGACGGAAGUCUGACCGAGCAACGCCGCGUGAGUGAAGAAGGUUUUCGGAUCGUAAAGCUCUGUUGUAAGAGAAGAACGAGUGUGAGAGUGGAAAGUUCACACUGUGACGGUAUCUUACCAGAAAGGGACGGCUAACUACGUG
RNAcentral lists this ribosomal RNA (495 nucleotides) under uncultured bacterium. RNAcentral's name for it is "partial 16S ribosomal RNA". It matches the Rfam family "Bacterial small subunit ribosomal RNA", at positions 28 to 507 of the family's 1533-position model. The record is from RNAcentral.